This 119-nucleotide ribosomal RNA is filed under the name Triticum aestivum (bread wheat). RNAcentral also lists the same sequence under 1 other name. The record is from RNAcentral. Lineage: Eukaryota; Viridiplantae; Streptophyta; Magnoliopsida; Poales; Poaceae.
GGAUGCGAUCAUACCAGCACUAAAGCACCGGAUCCCAUCAGAACUCCGAAGUUAAGCGUGCAUGGGCGAGAGUAGUACUAGGAUGGGUGACCUCCUGAGAAGUCCUCGUGUUGCAUUCC